Molecule: long non-coding RNA, 587 nt
Organism: Mesocricetus auratus (golden hamster)
Lineage: Eukaryota; Metazoa; Chordata; Mammalia; Rodentia; Cricetidae
Exons: 2
Source: RefSeq, a predicted model, not a curated record
CAGCCACCACUAAGAGAGCGCCCUCGCCUUUUCCUUCUUCUCUCCUGUCCUUUCAUGGGGCUGCUACAUUGUCUGCCUGCUGUGUUCAGACACAUCACAGGCCUUGGACAGGGAUUUUAAAAAUGAACAAUGGCUACCUAUGGCAGUGACUCCAUUCUGGCUCUCAAACGCUUGGAUUGUAUAUGUGAUCACGCUAUUUCUUCAUCAAAGGAAGAGCUGGGAGCCCCUCACCAUCUUUUCAGGCCUCCGAGGUUGUUCUGCCCUCCUGAGUAAGAAGUGGAAAUAUAUAAACAGUCUUUUUGUGCUUGAACUUGAAAGAGGAAUAAGUCAUCUGUACAUGAUCUGUGUUACAGCAAAAUGUAAUUUUUCCCUCUGACAAUGUGUUUGUGGUUCUUGAGUUAUCUUGAUUGCCAAGAGAAAUCUGUUUUGUGUGGCAGGGUUUCCUGACUUUAAAAUGUCACAUGCCACCACUCUCCAGUCCCCCACCCCCACCCCCGACCUCUCAACUAAGUCACAAAUUGACUCACUCUUGGCUAAGUUAAAAAAAUAUAUAAUUUCCUGAAAAUUAAAAGUCUGGUACAACACUA